UUUCCGGUUGAUCCCGCCGGACCCGACCGCUAUCGGGGUGGGGCUAAGCCAUGCAAGUCAGGGCUCCGGGCAAUGGCGGGGCCCGGCGGACGGCUCAGUAGCACGUGGCUAACCUACCCUCGGGACGGGGAUAUCCCCGGGAAACUGGGGGUAAUCCCCGAUAGGUGCGGACUCCUGGAAUGGGUCCGCGCCGAGAGGGGUGCAGCGCCACGCCCGCUGCACCCGCCCGAGGAUGGGGCUGCGCCCCAUCAUGGUAGUUGGCGGGGUAACGGCCCGCCAAGCCGAAGACGGGUGGGGGCCGUGAGAGCGGGAGCCCCGAGAUGGGCACUGAGACAAGGGCCCAGGCCCUACGGGGCGCAGCAGGCGCGAAACCUCCGCAAUGCGGGAAACCGCGACGGGGUCACCCCGAGUGCCGCCCGAUGAGGGCGGCUUUUCCCCGGUGUAAGAAGCCGGGGGAAUAAGCGGGGGGCAAGUCUGGUGUCAGCCGCCGCGGUAAUACCAGCCCCGCGAGUGGUCGGGACUUUUAUUGGGCCUAAAGCGUCCGUAGCCGGCCCGGUAAGUCCCUCCUCAAAGCCCACGGCUCAACCGUGGGACGGGAGGGAUACUGCCGGGCUAGGGGGCGGGAGAGGCCGGGGGUACUCCCGGGGUAGGGGCGAAAUCCGUUAAUCCCGGGAGGACCGCCAGUGGCGAAGGCGCCCGGCUGGAACGCGCCCGACGGUGAGGGACGAAAGCUGGGGGAGCAAAGGGGAUUAGAUACCCCCGUAGUCCCAGCUGUAAACGAUGCGGGCUAGGUGUUGGGCGGGCCUCGAGCCCGCCCAGUGCCGCAGGGAAGCCGUUAAGCCCGCCGCCUGGGGAGUACGGCCGCAAGGCUGAAACUUAAAGGAAUUGGCGGGGGAGCACCACAAGGGGUGAAGCUUGCGGUUUAAUUGGAGUCAACGCCGGG
RNAcentral lists this ribosomal RNA (943 nucleotides) under uncultured archaeon. RNAcentral's name for it is "partial 16S ribosomal RNA". It matches the Rfam family "Archaeal small subunit ribosomal RNA", at positions 1 to 922 of the family's 1478-position model. The record is from RNAcentral.